AAGGGGACACGGUCACGAUGUCCGUAUCCACUCUUUCUCGUAGAAUCGAACCUCCUUCUUGACAUAUGUUGCUGCUCGGCGGAAAAAAUCCUCGGAGAGAUGAACACGGUAUGCAAGUUCAACAAGUAGCAGAAGUCAUCUAUGUACAAAAAUUCUUUCCUUACCACUACAGAAGUUGUUGAACUUGAAGACCGUGUUCAUCUCGCGAGGAUGUCCUCAGCUGGGCGG
This 228-nucleotide long non-coding RNA is filed under the name Setaria italica (foxtail millet). RNAcentral's name for it is "long non-coding RNA (SITA_LNC002558)". The record is from RNAcentral. Lineage: Eukaryota; Viridiplantae; Streptophyta; Magnoliopsida; Poales; Poaceae.